Molecule: long non-coding RNA, 2858 nt
Organism: Mytilus californianus (California mussel)
Lineage: Eukaryota; Metazoa; Mollusca; Bivalvia; Mytilida; Mytilidae
Exons: 2
Source: RefSeq, a predicted model, not a curated record
GUUUGUCAUGCCAAGAUGGUUUGAAUGAUAUACAGGGUUAGUACCCAGGGGUCAUCCCAACCCCCUGCCAUUUGAGAAAGUUCUAAUAUCUUGUAAGUGGUCAAGAUCCCCACCCCUAAACCAUAUAUUCUGGUUUGUCAUGCUAAGAUGGUUUGAAUGAUAUACAGGGUUAGUCCCCAGGGGUCAUCCCGACCCCCUGCCAUUUGAGAAAGUUCUUAUAUCUUGUAAAUGGUCGAGAUCCCCACCCUAAACCAUAUAUAUUCUGGUUUGUCAUGAUAAAGCACAUCAAAUGAAAUACAGGGUAAGUCCCCAGGGGUCACCCCCACCCCCUGCCAUUUAAGAAAGUUCUAAUAUCUUUUAAGUGGUCAAGAUCCCCACCCCUUAACCAUAUAUAUUCUGGUUUGUCAUGCUAAGAUGGUUUGAAUGAUAUACAGGGUUAGUCCCCAGGGGUCAUCCCGACCCCCUGCCAUUUGAGAAAGUUCUAAUAUCUUGUAAAUGGUCGAGAUCCCCACCCCUAAACCAUAUAUAUUCUGGUUUGUCAUGCCAAGAUGAUUUGAAUGAUAUACAAGGUUAGUCCCCAGGCAUCACUAAUGCAUAUAACUUUACUGGACCAAACCAAUUUUCACUGGACGUUGCCAAAUGUCAGGCGACCCUGGGAAUUAAGAAUAAUGGGAGCUUCGUUUGGGAGACUUCGUAACAGCAUCCUGUUACAAUCAUUUCUUGUUUAAUUACUGUUUUACUUUUAUUUCUAUUCAUUUAUUUUUUUUUUAAUUUAUUACAGUUUUAAUUUUUAAUUUUUUAAAUAGUUUUUGAAUUGUUUUUUUUUAAUUUGUUAAUUAGAAUUUGCAUUUUAUUUUUUUGUUUUUCAAACAAUUUUAACCAAUGUUGAAUUAAGUGUUUCAUAGUAAGGAAGUGUGGUCUUAAGAAUAUCAGUUUACAUGUGUUGUUUACAUGAUGGUCAUUAAUUAGUUCUGCACAGUUAAAUGUUAGUAGGAACUGUGAGGUUUAUAUAAAUUAUUUAAUAGCUUUGUUUCACUAAUAUUCACCAAUGUUUCUAUUUCUUUUGAAUCCUAUUGAUAGGUUUUAUGGAAUUUGGCACCUAUUGUAGAAUUUGUUUUAAUAAGAUGCAAGUAUUUCCUGAAUACUUUUUGAAGUUUUCUGCUUGAGAAUGAUAAUUUGUAAUGAAUGAUAUAUUAUAUCUAUUUUCAACUUCGUUCCUUUUCUGGACAUAAUUUCAUAGAAAUUGAUCCAAUAUCCACCUAUUUAGGUGAGAAUCAUACCUCUGGCCUAAUUUCAUAGACAAAAUUUCAUAGAAGUUGAUUCUAUGUCACCCCAUUUAGGUGCAAAUCACCAUUUUAAAUUGUGCUUUCAAGCAGUUCAUAUGUAAAAAAAAGCUAUGGAUGAUAAUCAUUUUCAGCAUGAGGUUUAGGCCAUUCUUUUCUUAUUUCAGAUUGACAUAUAUCCAUAGGACAUGCAGUUAACUUAGACAAAUAUGAAGAAAAAGGUCUCUGAUUCAAUUCUCUGUGAAGUUCAAGGACUUUCUUAGUCAAAUAUGGGAAGAUGUGAAAGGAUACAUAGAAAUCUUGAAGGACAAAUUGACGAGAGUCUUAAAAGACACAGAUAUGAAGAUAAACAAGAGGAAAAGAAUGCCAAACAAAGUUCAUUUUGUAGUUUAAAGGACUGCAGACUUCCUGAUAUCUUUCAAACUGUUGUGUUUUUUGGUAUAAAUGUGAUAAUGCAUUAUCAUCUUAUUUGUAUAGGCAUACAUCCUGCAAAUCUUGUUGGUACCUUUUAUCUCCAUUAAUGCAACCGCUAUUUAUAAAACAUUGUUGUGAUUGUAGUUCUAUAUGUGAGUUUAUUAGUUAACUAGUGCGUAGUAAUUGCAUAUAUGAAUUAUUUUAUACCAUAUCUAUCAAUCUUUGUCUUUUUAAUUAAGAAAUAAUUUUUAAAACCUUGCUCUUUCAAUCCUAGUACAUUUAUUUUAAUUAUUUUGCAUAGUUUAUAAGUUUAAGUAAUGCCAUUUUAUUUCCACAUUUGAAUUUUACAACAUAAAAUACAUAAAGAUCAGAUUUAUAUCUGUGUUAACAGUUUAUUUAAUGGAAUAUUAUAUUUAUGUUUAAUUUGUAAUAUGCACUUUGUCUCAUAUUUUUUUCAAUUUGACACAUUUUCUUUUAUUAAUCAUCAAAUUUCAACAAAUGUUGGAAACAAACUUACAUAAAAACUUUUCGAAUGUAUCAAAAUUCUGUGUUGUAAAAUCUUAAAGAUUUUCUUUUUCUGGAUUUUUCCCAAUAUGUUUAAGAAAUCUGUAGCAUAAUUUUUGCUUGUAGAUUUUAUUUCGGGAUUUUUCCCGUAAUGGGUAAAAAAAUCUAUGCAACAAGUGUGUGCCUGAUAAUAGAUUUAUAUUUUCGGGAUUUUUCCGGAAAUGUGAAAAUAAAUUAUAAGUCAUGAGUUUCAGCAUAUACAUAUGUUGGGUAUUCGGGAUAAUUCCCGAAAUGUUUGAAGACAUAUAUGCUUUAUACAUUUUACAUUUACAUUAUUUUUUCGGGAUUUUUCCCGAAAUGUGUUUAAGAUCUGUUUGUCACAUAGCUAUGCUACCAAAAGUUUUAAUUAAUGUUGAAAGUGAUUUCGGGGAAAUUCCCGAAUAAAAUGUUGUCACAUACAUUUUUACCACAAAUAUUUGCAACUUUCAUAUAUUUUGGGAAAUUCCCCAAACACUAAAUGUAAGUUUUAUCAAUUAUAAGAAUAAAAGCAUGGAAGAUUGUAAAAAUUGUGUGUUUCUUUAUGAAAUCUGCAUUCAUUUAUGGUAAACAUUGAAAAAGCUUAUAAAUAGGAAUAAAAUGGAUUUUACUCUUUUAAAA